Molecule: ribosomal RNA, 497 nt
Filed under: uncultured bacterium
Lineage: Bacteria
Description: partial 16S ribosomal RNA
Rfam family: Bacterial small subunit ribosomal RNA
Source: RNAcentral
GAUGAACGCUGGCGGCGUGCCUAAUACAUGCAAGUCGAGCGAACAGACGAGGAGCUUGCUCCUCUGACGUUAGCGGCGGACGGGUGAGUAACACGUGGACAACCUACCUAUAAUACUGGGAUAACUUCGGGAAACCGGAGCUAAUACCGGAUAAUAUAUUGAACCGCAUGGUUCAAUAGUGAAAGACGGUUUUGCUGUCACUUAUAGAUGGAUCCGCGCCGCAUUAGCUAGUUGGUAAGGUAACGGUUUACCAAGGCGACGAUGCGUAGCCGACCUGAGAGGGUGAUCGGCCACACUGGAACUGAGACACGGUCCAGACUCCUACGGGAGGCAGCAGUAGGGAAUCUUCAGCAAUGGGCGAAAGCUUGACGGAGCAACGCCGCGUGAGUGAUGAAGGUCUUCGGAUCGUAAAACUCUGUUAUUAGGGAAGAACAAAUGUGUAAGUAACUAUGCACGUCUUGACGGUACCUAAUCAGAAAGCCACGGCUAACUACGUG